RNAcentral lists this long non-coding RNA (557 nucleotides) under Mytilus galloprovincialis (Mediterranean mussel). Lineage: Eukaryota; Metazoa; Mollusca; Bivalvia; Mytilida; Mytilidae. The record is from RNAcentral.
UCAUGGUCAUGAGUCUCGAGUCAGCAGUGGUACAAAUUCGCAAUGAUUGCAGUUCUUCUAGUUGAUCGUAAUUGUUCGUAUUAGUUGACUGUUAGUAUUUCAAGUUGACUUUAGUACGAGCUUGUAAAAGUAUGAAUGGACUUGCUUCCCUGGAAAGAAAACUGAGUUUGUGUUCUACAGUACAAAAGUUAUGAGACACAAAUCAGACAAAUGUUUACUACUACAGGGAUCAAUAGUGAGGUCUGACUGACCUGUCCAUAGUAAAUGUAAAUGACUCCCACCUUCAACCCAAGUCCAUGAUGUCUAAGUUUGGAAUAAAAUGACAGGUGUUAGGUCUAACAAAGUGAUAUGCAUAUGUGACGCCUAUGAGAUUGACCUUGUAUGUCAUUCAAUCUUUUUUGAAAUGACAAACAGGAAUGAAUAUGGUUUAGGAGUUGGUAUCUCAAUCUUUUACAAGUUCUCAAAACACACACAAGAGGGUGUGAGUGACCCUAGGGACUAUCCCUAUUUUUCAUUUGAUUUUUUAUAUUGUCCCAUACAUGAAUAUAUAUAGUUUA